Molecule: ribosomal RNA, 463 nt
Filed under: uncultured bacterium
Lineage: Bacteria
Description: bacterial SSU rRNA
Rfam family: Bacterial small subunit ribosomal RNA
Source: RNAcentral
GAUGAACGCUGGCGGCGUGCCUAACACAUGCAAGUCGUACGAGCUCGAUCUUCGGAACGGGUUAGUGGCGCACGGGUGAGUAACACGUAGGUGACCUACCCCAGAGUGGGGGAUAACUUCUCGAAAGAGAGGCUAAUACCGCAUACACUCGGUCAUUCAUUUGGCCGAGCAAAGCUCCGGCGCUUUGGGACGGGCCUGCGUCCGAUUAGCUAGUUGGUAGGGUAAUGGCUUACCAAGGCUUUGAUCGGUAGCUGGUCUGAGAGGACGAUCAGCCACACUGGCACUGACACACGGGCCAGACUCCUACGGGAGGCAGCAGUGAGGAAUAUUGGGCAAUGGGCGAAAGCCUGACCCAGCAACGCCGCGUGAGGGAUGAAGGCCUUCGGGUUGUAAACCUCUUUUCUGGGAGAAGAGACAAGGACGGUAUCCCAGGAAUAAGUCUCGGCUAACUACGUGCCAGCAG